GUCACUACUGGCCCAUGGAAGAAGACCUGUUGGGCUGCAGCCCCGGAGAAGCCUAGCCUGCCACGGCCACUUCCUGUAUUGUUAGGAUGAAUGGGGGAUUGGAGGGAUGGCCUCGGAAGGAACCGUCAUGGAGAAGCUGGUACUGGGCCUGAGCUCUCCCCCGCCGGGCACCCUGCAGAUGCUGUGGUGGCUGUUUCUGACCAUCCCCUGGCUGGGGGACUCUGUGCCCGGACCCGUGAGCCGCUGCCCCCCACCACCUACAGGAAGUGGAGGUUCCCAUCGUGAGGAACAGGGAGUGUGAUCACCGCUCCCAGAACUCUCCGGACCCAACGAUCAGAUCAUCAAGGGUGACAUGCUGUGUGCCUGGAGCGAGGGCUGGGACUCCUGCCAGGUGAGGUCCCAGGCUGCCCCAGGUGCGUGCUUGGUCCCCUUCUAGCUGGGACCGUGGGACCUACCGGUCCCUUUAUCGUGGGGACGUGGGACGCUCUUGUUCAGUGGCUUCUAUCCCCAGAGCUGGACCCUGGGGGUCCCGUGGAACUGCACCUGGGUCCAGGGGGGUCUCGCGAGCUGGGGCUACAGGUGUGGCGACUGCGACUUCCCUGGGGUGUAUACCCGCGUCAUGAGCGACGUGUCCUCGAUCUGCUAGUAUGUCCCUC
This 656-nucleotide long non-coding RNA is filed under the name Mustela putorius furo (domestic ferret). Its description in RNAcentral is "lncRNA (ENSMPUG00000032083.1)". The record is from RNAcentral. Lineage: Eukaryota; Metazoa; Chordata; Mammalia; Carnivora; Mustelidae.